RNAcentral lists this ribosomal RNA (258 nucleotides) under uncultured bacterium. Its description in RNAcentral is "partial 16S ribosomal RNA". It matches the Rfam family "Bacterial small subunit ribosomal RNA", at positions 96 to 354 of the family's 1533-position model. The record is from RNAcentral.
UGGCGGACGGGUGAGUAACGCGUGGGGAACCUGCCUUGCACCGGGGGAUAACACUUAGAAAUAGGUGCUAAUACCGCAUAAGCGCACAGAGCCGCAUGGCUCGGUGUGAAAAACUCCGGUGGUGCAAGAUGGACCCGCGUCUGAUUAGCUGGUUGGCGGGGUAACGGCCCACCAAGGCGACGAUCAGUAGCCGGCCUGAGAGGGUGAACGGCCACAUUGGGACUGAGACACGGCCCAAACUCCUACGGGAGGCAGCAG